Molecule: non-coding RNA, 30 nt
Filed under: Rattus norvegicus (Norway rat)
Lineage: Eukaryota; Metazoa; Chordata; Mammalia; Rodentia; Muridae
Source: RNAcentral
UAGAAAAUUCACAGGGUUUGGCCUGUAAAU